ACUCCUACGGGAGGCAGCAGUGGGGAAUCUUGGACAAUGGGCGCAAGCCUGAUCCAGCCAUGCCGCGUGAGUGAUGAAGGCCCUAGGGUCGUAAAGCUCUUUCGCCAGAGAUGAUAAUGACAGUAUCUGGUAAAGAAACCCGGCUAACUCCGUGCCAGCAGCCGCGGUAAUACGGAGGGGGUUAGCGUUGUUCGGAAUUACUGGGCGUAAAGCGUACGUAGGCGGAUUAGUUAGUCAGAGGUGAAAUCCCAGGGGCUCAACCCUGGAACUGCCUUUGAUACUGCUAGUCUUGAGUUCGAGAGAGGUGAGUGGAAUUCCGAGUGUAGAGGUGAAAUUCGUAGAUAUUCGGAGGAACACCAGUGGCGAAGGCGGCUCACUGGCUCGAUACUGACGCUGAGGUACGAAAGUGUGGGGAGCAAACAGGAUUAGAUACCCUGGUAGGAUAGCG
Molecule: ribosomal RNA, 448 nt
Filed under: uncultured bacterium
Lineage: Bacteria
Description: bacterial SSU rRNA
Rfam family: Bacterial small subunit ribosomal RNA
Source: RNAcentral